Molecule: long non-coding RNA, 373 nt
Organism: Hypanus sabinus (Atlantic stingray)
Lineage: Eukaryota; Metazoa; Chordata; Chondrichthyes; Myliobatiformes; Dasyatidae
Exons: 3
Source: RefSeq, a predicted model, not a curated record
GAGAGAGGCUGUGAAUUUGCGUUUGUCGGCACCGGUUGGAAAAUACUGUAACAUUUCAACUGGAGUUCUUUUCGCGGGCCAUUUACGUCUCAUCCACUCCAAAGAAAACGAGCCCAGUCUCUACAAUCCCAUCUCAUAAAUUGAGUAUUCGAACUCAGGCAGUCUGCACCCUGUCCAGUGCAGCCACGUCUGUGCUCUGCACUACCCUCUUUCGUCCUUCACACUGGAUCACCUCUGUUCUAUGAGACUGUAACUGGAAUAUUGCGUCUGAUCUCCUCACCAAAAGGAAGAAUAUAUUUUCGAUAGAACAACUGGAGUGAAAAUUCACCAAACUGCUUCUCAGGAAGGUGGGAUUGUCCUGUGAGGAGUGAGU